CUGGCGGCCGCCUACACAUGCAAGUCNAACGGAAACGAUGGGAGCUUGCUCCCAGGCGUCGAGUGGCGGACGGGUGAGUAAUACAUAGGAAUCUGCCCAGUAGCGGGGGACAACCUGGUGAAAACCAGGCUAAUACCGCAUAAGCCCUACGGGGGAAAGCAGGGGAUCUUCGGACCUUGCACUAUUGGAUGAGCCUAUGUCAGAUUAGCUUGUUGGUGGGGUAACGGCCUACCAAGGCGACGAUCUGUAGCUGGUCUGAGAGGACGAUCAGCCACACUGGGACUGAGACACGGCCCAGACUCCUACGGGAGGCAGCAGUGGGGAAUAUUGCACAAUGGGGGAAACCCUGAUGCAGCAAUGCCGCGUGUGUGAAGAAGGCCUGCGGGUUGUAAAGCACUUUCAGUGGGGAGGAAACAGUUACGGGUUAAUAUCCCGUAGCCUUGACGUUACCCACAGAAGAAGCACCGGCUAACUCUGUGCCAGCAGCCGCGGUAAUACGAAGGGC
RNAcentral lists this ribosomal RNA (505 nucleotides) under uncultured Gammaproteobacteria bacterium. Its description in RNAcentral is "bacterial SSU rRNA". It matches the Rfam family "Bacterial small subunit ribosomal RNA", at positions 36 to 533 of the family's 1533-position model. The record is from RNAcentral. Lineage: Bacteria; Pseudomonadati; Pseudomonadota; Gammaproteobacteria.